Molecule: ribosomal RNA, 1099 nt
Filed under: uncultured fungus
Lineage: Eukaryota; Fungi
Description: SSU rRNA
Rfam family: Eukaryotic small subunit ribosomal RNA
Source: RNAcentral
CCAGUAGUCAUAUGCUUGUCUCAGAGAUAAGCCAUGCAUGUCUAAGUAUAAGCAAUCAUACUGUGAAACUGCGAAUGGCUCAUUAAAUCAGUUAUCGUUUAUUUGAUAGUACCUUUACCUGGAUAACCGUGGUAAUUCUAGAGCUAAUACAUGCUAAAAACCUCGACUUCGGAAGGGGUGUAUUUAUUAGAUAAAAAACCAAUGCCCUUCGGGGCUCCUUGGUGAUUCAUAAUAACUUAACGAAUCGCAUGGCCUUGCGCCGGCGAUGGUUCAUUCAAAUUUCUGCCCUAUCAACUUUCGAUGGUAAGAUAGUGGCUUACCAUGGUCUCAACGGGUAACGGGGAAUUAGGGUUCUAUUCCGGAGAGGGAGCCUGAGAAACGGCUACCACAUCCAAGGAAGGCAGCAGGCGCGCAAAUUACCCAAUCCCAAUUCGGGGAGGUAGUGACAAUAAAUACUGAUACGGGGCUCUUUCGGGUCUCGUAAUUGGAAUGAGUACAAUCUAAAUCCCUUAACGAGGAACAAUUGGAGGGCAAGUCUGGUGCCAGCAGCCGCGGUAAUUCCAGCUCCAAUAGCGUAUAUUAAAGCUGUUGCCGUUAAAAAGCUCGUAGUUGAACCUUGGACCUGGCUGAUCUGUCCUCCUAAUCGAGCGCACGGAUUCGGUCGGGUCUUUCCUUCUGGGGAGCCCUAUGCCCUUCACUGGGUGUAGUGGGGAACCAGGACUUUUACCUUGAAAAAAUUAGAGUGUUCAAAGCAGGCCUUUGCUCGAAUACAUUAGCAUGGAAUAAUAGAAUAGGACAUCGGUUCUAUUUUGUUGGUUUCUAGGACCGCUGUAAUGAUUAAUAGGGAUAGUCGGGGGCGUCAGUAUUCAAUUGUCAGAGGUGAAAUUCUUGGAUUUAUUUGAAGACUAACUACUGCGAAAGCAUUCGCCAAGGAUGUUUUCAUUAAUCAGUGAACGAAGGUUAAGGGAUCGAAGACAAUCAGAUACCGUCGUAGUCUUAACAAUAAACUAUGCCGACUAGGGAUCGGACGGUGGUUUUUUUUAUGCCCCGUUCGGAACCUACCGAGAAUCAGAGUUAUUGGCCUCGGGGGUGAAGUAUG